UGGGGAAUUUUGCGCAAUGGGGGAAACCCUGACGCAGCAACGCCGCGUGAGUGAUGAAGGCCUUCGGGUCGUAAAGCUCUGUCAGGGGGGAAGAAAUGCAGUUGCGCUAAUAUCGCGAUUGCUUGACGGUACCCUCAAAGGAAGCACCGGCUAACUCCGUGCCAGCAGCCGCGGUAAUACGGAGGGUGCGAGCGUUGUUCGGAAUUAUUGGGCGUAAAGCGCGUGUAGGCGGUUUGGUAAGUCUGAUGUGAAAGCCCCGGGCUCAACCUGGGAAGUGCAUUGGAAACUGUCAGACUUGAAUACGGGAGAGGGUAGUGGAAUUCCUAGUGUAGGAGUGAAAUCCGUAGAUAUUAGGAGGAACACCGGUGGCGAAGGCGGCUACCUGGACCGAUAUUGACGCUGAGACGCGAAAGCGUGGGGAGCAAACA
Molecule: ribosomal RNA, 428 nt
Filed under: uncultured prokaryote
Description: bacterial SSU rRNA
Rfam family: Bacterial small subunit ribosomal RNA
Source: RNAcentral